Non-coding RNA from Daucus carota subsp. sativus, 118 nucleotides. The record is from Rfam. Lineage: Eukaryota; Viridiplantae; Streptophyta; Magnoliopsida; Apiales; Apiaceae.
GGGUGCGAUCAUACCAGCAUUAAUGCACCGGAUCCCAUCAGAACUCUGAAGUUAAGGCUGCUUGGGCGAGAGUAGUUCGAGGAUGGGUGACCCCACGGAAGUCCUCGUGUUGCACCCA